CAUUAGAGGAAUGGAAUGGUCUUGCUCUCUUCUUGGUGGUAAGGAAUUGGGUUCCUCAAAAAUUCCUUGAUAUUUGCCGAUUAUAAGUAACAAAUAACUCCUCGUUAUCAUUAACCACCUCCUAAACCUUUCCUGGCAUUAGAGGAAUGGAGUGGUCUUGCUCUCUUCUUGGUGGUAAGGAAUUGGGGUUCCUCAAAAAUUCCUUGGUAUUUGCUGAUUAUAGGUAACAAUAAUUCCUCAUUAUCAUUAACCCCCUCCUGAGCCUUUCUUGGUUGGGUUUUGUAUUGAAUGGAGUACAUUAGUUGGGUUCCUAAAAAAUUUCUCGGUAUUUGCCGAUUAUAGGUAACAAAACUCCUCGUUAUCAUUAACUCCCUCCUGAGCCUUUCCUGGUUGGGUUUUGUAUUGAAUGGAGUAUGUGUCUUCCCCUCCUUGUUGUGCCUUUAGGAGCCAUCUUCCCCGUCCUUUACCUAGUGCCCUUUACCUAGUGCCCUUUACCUAGUGCCUGCGUCAGUAAUCCUUCACCUUUUACUCCUUGAAUGAUCACUGGUUUUCCAUCCUUUGUUAAGAUAAUUUGCAUCUUUUUAAAGUUGAAGGACCCUGGGUUGUGUGUCUCUUCAUUCAGUAUGUUUCCCAAGAUCAUGCCAUAUAACCCCAGCUCCAUCAUCCUAAAGGUCCUCUUGAACUGUAUUUUCUGCAUUCUUCAGUGCAAAACAGAGGUCUGGUGUUGGCUGGUUAAGGCUUCCCUGUCGGCCACCAAUACCUUGAGUGCUGGGAAAGGUAUGUGUACUGCUGCUGUUCACAAGAAUAAGGGCAAGUCUGGUGUCUAUAGUUUCCCAGAUCUUGGUUGUACUACCCUUUCCAUUCAUUCUGAAAAUUUGCAAUUAAUUUUUUUUGUUACAGCAAUUUCAUUCUUUCACAUGACUGAUAAAAUGAAAAUGCCAAGGAGAACAUUCACACAGUGGCACAGCAGCAGUACAAAAACUAAUUUGGCUUAGAUAUCUGAGUGAUUUGAUGAGAUUAUGCUGUUGCUUUUGUUAAUUGUUACUACUUCCUCUCUGCUUUCCUGUCUCUCUUUCUUAUUUCAUACUAUUCUGGAUCUUGUCUUCUAUUUUUAUCAUUGUCUAAUUUCCCUG
RNAcentral lists this long non-coding RNA (1133 nucleotides) under Carica papaya (papaya). Its description in RNAcentral is "long non-coding RNA (CPAP_LNC010532)". Lineage: Eukaryota; Viridiplantae; Streptophyta; Magnoliopsida; Brassicales; Caricaceae. The record is from RNAcentral.